CGGCCGCGGCGGGCAGGACCGGCGGGGGGCGGCAGGCUGCCGAGGCGACGGAGACCCGAUCCCGGGUGGCCAGGCCUUGCCCUGACCACAGGCUCAGCAUGGAGAGCACCCUCCGACUACCGGGUGCUGGACAGCGCCAGGCCAGAAUGACUCUGAGACACCUCAGAAAGUAUCUGCACAUGGAAAACAGGCAGGCUGCCUUUUGUUGCGUUACUUUACAGUCAGAGCAUCGGAAGGAAACCAUUGAUGGCCUGUGUGAAUACAAUCUGCACAUCAUCUAGUAAAUUGCCUCUGCUGACCCACACAGAACUGCAUGAACUCAUGAAGGAAAUCA
Molecule: long non-coding RNA, 334 nt
Filed under: Rattus norvegicus (Norway rat)
Lineage: Eukaryota; Metazoa; Chordata; Mammalia; Rodentia; Muridae
Description: long non-coding RNA NONRATT022341
Source: RNAcentral